RNAcentral lists this long non-coding RNA (470 nucleotides) under Carica papaya (papaya). RNAcentral's name for it is "long non-coding RNA (CPAP_LNC008787)". The record is from RNAcentral. Lineage: Eukaryota; Viridiplantae; Streptophyta; Magnoliopsida; Brassicales; Caricaceae.
UAGAGAGACUUAUCGCUACCUAACAAGUCUAGGAGGAAAUGAAUGAGCUAAUUGACCCUCCCUCACUGCCAGAAGUUAAGCCACCCCUGCAACGAGAGGAUCUUGAGCCAUCCCAAUACGACCCUACUCCUCUACAGUACCAUCCAGCACCACCACAGUAUGGUCCGGUGCCCCAACCACAUCACCCGAUACAACCAUAGUAUAGUCUGAUGCACCAAUCAUAUUACUCGACACCACCACAGUACAAUUCGGUACCUCUACCAUAUCAUCUAAUACCACCACAGGACCAUCCGAUCCAUCUCUAGCACAAUCCAGUCCCUCUUCCACGGGACCUAGUUCAUCCCAUGAUGGAAGCAGGCUACAUUGAGAGCUAUAAAAGACUAUAAAAGACUAAACUCAUCUACUUUUAUAGGAGUAUCAUCUUUUGAAGAGGCCGAGUAUUGGUUAGUUGAAAUAGAGAAAGCCUUCAC